GACAGAGGGUGCAAACGUUGUUCGGAUUUACUGGGCGUAAAGCGUGUGUAGGCGGCUUGGCAAGUUGGAUGUGAAAGCCCACGGCUCAACCGUGGAAGCGCACCCAAAACUGCUUCGCUCGAGUCUCGGAGAGGAAGGUGGAAUGCUUGGUGUAGAGGUGAAAUUCGUAGAUAUCAGGAGGGACACCGGUGGCGAAGGCGGGUCUCUGGGCCGAUACUGACGCUGAGGAGCGAAAGCGUGGGGAGCGAACAGG
Molecule: ribosomal RNA, 253 nt
Filed under: uncultured bacterium
Lineage: Bacteria
Description: partial 16S ribosomal RNA
Rfam family: Bacterial small subunit ribosomal RNA
Source: RNAcentral